Salvia miltiorrhiza (redroot sage) is the source of this 701-nucleotide long non-coding RNA. RefSeq lists it as uncharacterized. The transcript has 2 exons. NCBI's taxonomy places the organism in Eukaryota, Viridiplantae, Streptophyta, Magnoliopsida, Lamiales, Lamiaceae. The record is from RefSeq and is a predicted model, not a curated record.
AUUCUUCUUCAGUCCAAACAUGGAAUACGUCUCAGAUUCCGCAUCUUGAAUCACUAGGAAUCCCGAGUUCGGACCAUCAGGUGCUGCUGCAAGAUUCUCUGCAGAUUUUUGCAGCACAGACAGAGGCCUUGUUACUUCCAUAUUCUCGCCGGAGGCGACGCCGGCGAUGAUGACGCCGGAGCCGGCGACGAAAUCGCAAACCAGAUCCCAAAUUGCAAAGCAGAUCGCAAAUGAACAGAUCCAAAUCACAAGAAAUGAACUAAAUUAGAUCACAAAGCAGAUCGCAAAUGAACAGAAAUAAAUCCGAAAUCGCACAUCGCAGAUCCCAAGUUGCAAAUUGCAAACCAAAUCACAAGAAGUUGGGUCAGAUUUGUUCGAUAGAGAUCUGAGCAAGGGAGAAGAGGAGAGCUUCGUGCCAAACCCGGGAAAGGAGAGAGAAGCAGAGGUUGCGGCUGAUUUGCAAACCAAAAUGGAAAAGUGACCACUUUUAGUGGGACAAACCAAAAUGGAAAGGUGGUCACAUUUAUUGGGACGGAGGGAGUAUAUCGCAUGUACUUCUUGAUUACUUAAUAAAUACUGAUGAUAAAUUGACCUGUAUACUGUAUACUACGUGUUGAUUUUAUAUUGGUUAAGCAAAUUCUGACCUUGUACUCAUAACUAUUUGACUAGUAGUAUUAUAUUUGGAGUAGACUAUUCUGCCC